UCCGAUUUGUCACCGGCAGUCUCCCAUGAGUCCCCGACAUUACUCGCUGGCAACAUGGGACAGGGGUUGCGCUCGUUGAAGGACUUAACCUAACAUCUCACGACACGAGCUGACGACGGCCAUGCAUCACCUGUCACUUGGUUCCCGAGGGCACAGUUUCCUUUCGGAAGCUUUCCAAGGAUGUCAAGCCUGGGUAAGGUUCUUCGCUUAUCAUCGAAUUAAACAACACGCUCCACCGCUUGUGCGGAUUCCCGUCAAUUCCUUUAUGUUUUAGUCUUGCGACCGUACUCCACAGGCGGGAUGCUUAACGCGUUAGCUUCGCCACUACCGGGGUCGGUACCGGUAACGGCUAGCAUCCAUAGUUUACGGCGUGGACUAC
This 379-nucleotide unclassified non-coding RNA is filed under the name uncultured bacterium. RNAcentral describes it as "contains 16S-23S intergenic spacer region". The record is from RNAcentral.